UCAGAGAAUUUGCAAUUUUUUUUAUCAAAGGAAUUGUUAAUUUUUAUUUUUAUUUAUUUAUUUUUUAAAUCAAAGAAAACCAGGAUCCCUCUUGAAGAGUACUUGCAAGAGAACUACCGGGCUUCUAAAACCAGUUCCUUUUCAUCACCUCCUGUACCUCUUUCCCUACCUGGUUACAUCUCUGCAAGGCAGUGUGUAUUGAACUCCUCUGGGUGGCCUUUAAGUGGCCUUUCUGAACGUGUCCCUUCCCAGCACUCUCCACCCUCCAGGAGGACUCCAACUCAGCCAUGAUAGAACAGGUGCAGCUCUCCAUGGCCAGCACAGUAAUCCAGGUGAUCAGCCAGAUCAGCAACUCCUAGCCCCUCCUGCCAUUCUGCCAAAGCUGCAUGAGCUCAGGAGUGGACUUGGACAAUGAUGGCCUGGAGCUUUCUGCCAUGAUGAUGAUGAUGGGCGAUCACUCACUUACAAGCUCCUCCAUUUCCAGGCAGACACCUGUAUGUUGUGGCAGUGGCAAUGCCAGACCACAUGGCAGCCAAGGAAGGGGACAGACUGCUGCCCAGAGAGCACCCUGGAAGAGAAAAUGUCAUGCCUGCAUGAAACUGGAUGUGCUGGCCUCUACAGCAGAGUCCAGCCACUGCUGGGUCACAAUGGCCUCGCAGUCAAGUGAAGGAGAGAGGACUGCUACUAGUGCUUGACCAGGGUCAUGGCCAUGUUGCUUGCCAGGCAGCAUGCAGAGGUUGAGGAGCACUACCUGGCCCCCCUGCCUGUCACCUAAGCAGGGAGCAUAGCCUGACAGGGGCGUGCACAUGCACUCCUUAUGCAUCACCACUGCCCCAGCCAUCUGGCAGAUGGACCCUGUGGCCUAAAUAAUUCUCCAGAGGCAGUCGCCACCACCUGGGGACAUGCCACCUGCUCUUGCUAUGCACAGCAUGCAGGGCCCAGGGCAUGCUGUCAUUCAGGGAAGUGACGGACUCCCUGGAAAGAUUUGUAAGUGUUGCCCACCUGCUUUUUCACAGGGCAUUUGUCUACUUUACUAGACUUCUUUCCCUAUUGUUUGUUGUUCAAUACAAUUUCUGCCUGUUGAGAGGUGCAGGUAUAACAGGAGCCCCCCUUGGGCCCAGUCACCUCUGCUUUCUCUGGGCAGUCCCCCCUUGAACUUUCCUGCCACACCUUGAUGCUGUUAUGCUUUUACAGAAAAGGGAGGCUUCCUCCAGGCUUCAAGUGAAAGCUCAUCCUCAUAAACACAGGUGCCACUGCUCAUCACCUUCACAGUGAAUUACAUAGCCUCAUCUUCCCUUAUAGCCAUGCCCAAGCCUCACAGGUAUCACCAAUCAUUGGAUAUUAAGCCCCAUUGCCUAAUCCAGUCACUCUCUCAUCCAUGGGCUCUCAGACCUAGUGUCAACUCAGUUCCAGGUUUAGAGGCCUGCCUGGACUGAUCUUCCAACACUAAUGAGUCUUCCCGUGCCUUUGAUCAUUUCAGCCCCACUUGGGCUCAGUACUCCAAAUAGAGGCCCAUCUUGACCUCUCUUGGGCUUAGCCCUUCAUUCUCAGCCCUUCCUGGGCUUAGGCCUCACUACCUCCAGCCAACUCCAUCCCUUGCAGGCUGUGGGUCCUGACUCUGGUUCUUGCCCCUUGCAGGCUGCAGCUGUGGCCCUGCUCCUCAGCCAUGGCCCCUAUCUCACAAGCUCUGGCCCUGCUCCCAGGCUAGUUGAGACUUCCACCACCCCUACAGUCUCAAUCCCUAAACCACCAGUCUUGCUUACAUCCUACUCAGGAGUCUUGCUGUGGCCCCACCAAGUCCCAGGACCUCCCGGUCAGCCUCCUCCUGGCCCUGGCCCUGUGGACCCUGUACUUGACCAGGAAGGAGGCUCUGGCUGGGAAGGUGCCUGGAGCCUGCGGGGCCACUUUCCUCUCCCUUGUCCAUGCAUGUUUCCGAGCAGAGCACCAGUGAGCGGCGUCCACCAGCUCCUUGGAUACUUUUAAGGGCUGGCGGGUGCGGUCCGGAGGGCUCUGCUCGGUGUCCCUCUCAGGCGCACUUACGCAUUUUGACCAUUUGACCCUCACGUCCCUCCUGUCCUGUUUUUCGCCUUUGUUGUCCCAAGUAUUUUGUUCUAGGAUUCACCCACUAGCCCCCAUACGAUAGGGGCUACUAGUUAGCUGGGUGGGCUUUAGGGCCCACCGUAUUUGAAUGUUAAAAAUAGACAGAAGUCUUACUGCAGCCCUUUGGCGCAGAAGCUGUUUGCUCCUAGGGCUAGACUGCCUGCCCAGCCCAGCCCCUUUUGGGUCAUGUAGCUCUACUGAUUUCCCUCUUCCUUACCUGCAGCCUGCUUUCCCUUAAAGUAGCAGGAGCACCAAGCUCCCUGCUACAGUAGGGCCUUGGUGAAUAGAAAUCUUGGACAGGGAGAAGCUGUUCAUUGAAUUUGCCACAAAAAAAAUUGAGGCAGGGGCUCAGGAGCUGUGCCCAAAACAGUCUUUGGGUUUUGGGAGGGGUACCUUUAAAGGUCACUGUCCUGUCAGGCAGCUACUGACUGCUGCAUAAUUUAAUUGCCCACUUAAUGCCUCAGCCACUCCCUCUGAAAAACACAGUAGUUUUACUACUUCCCCUACAAAACCCAGGGCUUUGAAGUAGGCUUUUAAGUGGAUGAAGUGAGCUUCAGCCAAGGAAAGCUUAUUCUAUAUAAUUGAAACUAUAUUUUUAACGUAUGCUUUGGUUAGUUCAUGGCGCUCAGCCUGCAAGCCAAGUCUAGCCCAUGGAAGCAUGACAUCCAGCCCUGGAAUGACAUCCAUCUGGUCUGCUCCCCACUGGCACAUGUUGGGAUUGGGGCUACCCUGCCCCACCCCUGCUGCCCCACAUGUCCAGAUCAGUACUGGGAUUGGGGCUGACAUCAGGCUGUUUCUCCUGCAACCCAUGCAUCUGGAUUGGAGCCACACUGCCACCUGUCCCUGCCACACAUGUUCAGACUGGGGUUACUCUGACCCACCCCAGGUGGAUAGAUCAAGGUUGGGCUGCUCAAUCCCUCUGCAUUGGCUUCAGGGAGGGAGCUUUUAAUAGGAAACAUGCCAUCUUUCUGCUGGGUAGGCAGGCAGCACCUGUCGCUGCUUCAAUUAAUACCCAUCUAAUGCCCCAGCCCAUCCUCCUACAGAAACCCAGUAGUUGUGCUAUGGCCCCAGCAUACCUGGCCUCUCCUUGGGAGAUGAAGAUGAGCUUUCACAUCACCUCCCUUCCCCAACCACAGCUCCAGAGCAAUGCUUAGCACCCAGCUGAGGAUUUACCCCCCACCCUCACCCCCAGUCCAAACUCUCAUUGACUCCCCCUUCCCCCACCACCGCCCUCCCUUAACAUGCCACUCCUGGACCGUACCCCCCCCAUCAUCAUCACCUCCUGCCAGCACAGGAGAAAACCACACAGAGGAGACCUUGAAUUCAGCCAACAGUAUUUAACAGAUGCACUACAUUUUAUUUAUACAUUAAAGUGGCCAUUCAGUGCAAACACGCAGUGCCUGGCAACCUGCCAGGCAGUGGAAACUCUGGGUCACAGUCACAGACAGUAUUAUUACAAACAUAGGAAAUGGUAUUGGUAUUGCAGGCACAAGAAGAAUAGUAGGUUUUGCAGAAUUGCAGGGUCUUGGGAUCUCUUGCAUCCUUGGGUUCUGCAAGCCCUCACUGCUUCUUGCAUCAGGUACUGGGAUGAGCUGGGUCAGAGGGCAACUCAGUGGCAGGACAAAUGCAACAGGUAUUCAGGCACAAAACCUCCCACAAACAUUUCACCACACGCCUGUGGGACACCUAGUGGGCCUGCCAUGUCGGCUAUGUUAUGUAUGUAUUCUCUCAGGCCACCUGCUGGUGGAAGGGUAGCAGUAAACUCAGCCAUUCCUGAAAGCUGCUUUAACAGAGACAUGUGAAUGUGACAAAAUGUGCCACUUCUCCAUUGCAUUUAUACCCUCUGUGGCCUACCCUAGGCGAGGUCCUGGCCCAUGUGGGUCUCUUGUCUGCUUAUCCAGUGUCAUCUUUACAGCUUGCUUCCCUUUCCCCUCCCAUCAGGUGAUCACUAGUGUCAUUUUUAGUGAGGGUCUUACUGCCGUUCCCACCACCAACCUACAGCCUUAUGACAGGAGAAAGACAAGUUUGAGAGAACCAUAUCCUCCCAUCUGGAGAUGGUUGUUCUCUAAUCUGGACCAACCAUUGAUUCAAAUGGGGAGCAUACACUGCCAGGGCUAAACCAGUGAGCAACUGCAGCCAACAGAAACAAGCAUAGAGCACAGCUGUCUCAAACCCUUCUGCCUGGUUUGUGUGGAUAUUUGAUAAUGUUAUCUCAUUGAUCAAGAUCAGGCACUGAACGGCCUUGUGGCACAGCUGGAAGUAGCCUACUCCCAGUAGACACUAGAUCAGUGUUUCUCAAACUUCAUAACUGAGGCACACUUUUUUCUAGAUUAAAACCGGCAGCACAAUUUACUCAGCGAUUCGCAGCCUGGAUCUCCAUCGGCCCGAUUCUGCUAUGAGGGCCAGCCUGGCUGGGCCUAAUCCAGACCGUUUUUUCAUGGCAUACUUCUACUUCUCUCAUAGCACACUGUCUAGAAAUCACUGCCCUAUAUGUUAGCAGUGGCCUUGGCAAUCCUGUGGUUGAUUCUGCAUGCACACAGCACUUGGUCCUGUACCUUGCACGACUUGCUGCACUGACAACCACCAGGUAGGUUAGUUAGCUAGCCUGUUGCUCUCACAGACAUUUCCACCCCUCAGUAUGUUGGUAGCAGAAACCAACCAUAUUUAACUACUUCCACUCCAUCUACAACACCGCUCUCCAGACAUACCUGGCCAUCCCUAGGUAGACUCCCCACCUCCUCCCUAGUCAUGUGCUGCUGCUGGGGCCCUUUGCCCAUCCCUUACCUUUAACAGCUGCUCAUCUCAAAGAUACAGAGAGGUGGGCACCUGGGAUAGAGCUGUGGGACAGGUGUGGGAAAGCCAGAGUGUGGGGAC
Molecule: long non-coding RNA, 4974 nt
Organism: Alligator mississippiensis (American alligator)
Lineage: Eukaryota; Metazoa; Chordata; Crocodylia; Alligatoridae
Exons: 3
Source: RefSeq, a predicted model, not a curated record